RNAcentral lists this ribosomal RNA (497 nucleotides) under uncultured bacterium. RNAcentral describes it as "partial 16S ribosomal RNA". It matches the Rfam family "Bacterial small subunit ribosomal RNA", at positions 28 to 507 of the family's 1533-position model. The record is from RNAcentral.
GAUGAACGCUGGCGGCGUGCCUAAUACAUGCAAGUCGAGCGAACAGACGAGGAGCUUGCUCCUCUGACGUUAGCGGCGGACGGGUGAGUAACACGUGGAUAACCUACCUAUAAGACUGGGAUAACUUCGGGAAACCGGAGCUAAUACCGGAUAAUGUAUUGAACCGCAUGGUUCAAUAGUGAAAGACGGUUUUGCUGUCACUUAUAGAUGGAUCCGCGCCGCAUUAGCUAGUUGGUAAGGUAACGGCUUACCAAGGCGACGAUGCGUAGCCGACCUGAGAGGAUGAUCGGCCACACUGGAACUGAGACACGGUCCAGACUCCUACGGGAGGCAGCAGUAGGGAAUCUUCCGCAAUGGGCGAAAGCCUGACGGAGCAACGCCGCGUGAGUGAUGAAGGUCUUCGGAUCGUAAAACUCUGUUAUUAGGGAAGAACAAAUGUGUAAGUAACUAUGCACGUCUUGACGGUACCUAAUCAGAAAGCCACGGCUAACUACGUG